CGAAAAGAAGCCGAGGCGCCCUCGCCUUUUCGCAUCCUCACUUCACUUCCUCCCCCAGCUUCCCAGUGCCCCCUCUCCUGAUCCCUCCAGUCCAACCCCUUUCCGCCACCUCCUAACUCCUCUCUCCUCCCCCCUCGCAUUCCCUCCUCUUCCAUCCACCCGUCCGCUCCUCGCUCGCUCCAAAUCCCCACUGCAACCGCGCGCGCGCCGCCGCAGCCCAGGCCAAAACCCUAGCCGAGAAGCCAUGCCCAGGCUCCUGCCUCUCCUCGUCUUGCUGCUCGUCUCGUCGGCCGCAGCCUCCAGCGGCUCCCAGGCGCAGGGAGCGGGACCCGGGGCGCCUUCCCGGCGGGGGCUGGUGCCGGUGGCACCGUCGGAGGCGGAGCUGGGCGCGAUGGUGCUCGGGCUCAACGACACGCGGCGGCGGCUCGGGGGCAGCUUCCAGCUCUGCGCGCCCUGCACCUGCUGCGGCGGGGACAGGCACACCUGCGUCCUCGCGCCCUGCUGCUACGCCAUCAACUGCAACAUCCCUAACCGCCCCUUCGGGUACUGCUCCUUCAUGCCCAAGUCCUGCGACUGCCUCGGAUGCAACCUCUGAGGCGGCGGCUGCUGUUGUCCGCGGGAUUCAUUAAAUUGGUCAGAGUAAGAGUGAGAGAGUGGGGUAGUAAGGAAUAUGUAUAAAUUCCCCACCUGCUUAGUUAAGUGGCGAUUGCUAUUGCUUCUAGCUAGUAUUUUGCUGUGAUCAUUACUACGUUGUGUAGCUGCUACACUUGAUUUGGUUGAAGAGAAAAAAAAAAGAGAGAGAGAAGGGGUUGGAUUGAUUUGGAGAUCACUGCUAGGGUUUUCUUCAGUAUUCUUGGUCCUCUGCCUGUGGGAUUUUGUUUAUCCCUUUCCACACAUGGAUGUCUGAUUAGGAUACUACUUGUUGAUAGUGGCUAGUUGAUAGCUGGAAUAAUGGUUGUUUAGGUGUGAUGAUUUAGUGCCUUGUAGUGGAUGCUGUCUCUUGCAUCUCAAUCGUGGCAUGGAAUGUAUUAGCUCAUCAAAUCGUGGCGACUCUUUUUCAUAGUGACUGGAUCGGACAGACCUUAUCAGCUCAUCUAUUGUAUGUGUUCCUCUUUUUCUCUUUUCUGUCUUCACAAAAUA
RNA transcript from Panicum virgatum (switchgrass), 1140 nucleotides. RefSeq lists it as uncharacterized. NCBI's taxonomy places the organism in Eukaryota, Viridiplantae, Streptophyta, Magnoliopsida, Poales, Poaceae. The record is from RefSeq and is a predicted model, not a curated record. The transcript is spliced from 3 exons.